Gopherus agassizii (Agassiz's desert tortoise) is the source of this 1672-nucleotide long non-coding RNA. Lineage: Eukaryota; Metazoa; Chordata; Testudines; Testudinidae. The record is from Ensembl.
GGGGAAAAUCACACUGCAUAUUGGCUGGGUACUAAGAUCGCUAGAUAGUUAUCAGGAAUCUGCGAUGUUAAAAGGAAUAAUAUAUCUGAAAAGAUCAAAUGAGCACUGAAUGAAAGGGGUGUGAUUACAGGAGUGAGUAUGUUCUUUCGAAUGAUUUUUAUCUGCAUCGUGUAUAUGUCGGUUAGGGAGGUAAGUUCAAGGUCCAGUGGAAAGUUUCUUUUUGAAUACUAUCAUAUAGCAUGCUCCUUUCUCCAGUUUUCUUUCUUUUUCUUAUUAUUGAGGCAUGACUGAAGCUGAGAACUGGCUCUUCUGAUGAAAUGACGUGAAAAUAGUUGCAUCAAGGAAGAAGAUAGAAACUAGAGAGGAAACUGAUCAUUGGAUGCAAGAGCAAAACCACAAGGAAUUCAGUGGCACUGCAUAAUAAUCUUGAUUUUGGUAUUUUGUAUAGGUGGACAGAAUAAAAUCAAAUUACAGAUGAUGAAUCAAAUAAAAAUAAGAUGAAAAAUAGUAUUUGAUAUUAUUAGGACCAUCUUUUGUACUCUUUACAUGAGAACAUUCUUUAAGGAGGCACUUUCAAAUGAAGAUAACCUCUGAAGGAUGAUUGGAGGAAGCCUUGCUCUCAGUCCACUGAAAAGUACAAAACUGGGAAACUUGUCACUCCCAAAGAAGAAGGCAUACUUUAGCUUGGAAGAAGAACAAAGGCCCGCCGUAUCCAGAUACACCAAGGUGGAGCAUCAUAAAAUAAAUAAUACCUAAUGAAAAUGGAACAGAAUGCCUACCUUGUGGAGUAAGCAGACUUGCAAACUGCAUAAUGAAGCACCACUUGCAGUUCUUUUGGAAGGGACACAGCAGCAGCUCAUGAGCUCAAUGACAGACUAAUCUGACAAGUCCUCAGCUCAGGUUGUCAGACUCAUAAAGUAAUCAUGGAUAGGUGCCCCUGGAAUGCAUAAUUUGAGACACUGGAGAGUAUUAUCCAAAAUGGCCCUUUUUCUUCAGAACAUGAAAGAGAUGGAUCCAAAUUCAGCCCUGGUAUAAGAGGGUAUAACUGUUGAAAUCAAUGAAGUUGCAGCAGGGCUAUAAUUAACCCUGUUAAACUAAAAGCUGUGACUACCUCAUGGAAUUGGCAUGAAGGUUUAUCUUUUUACUAUGAUUUUUAUGGUCACUGUGUGAGCAGGAUAGGGCUUUAGGUGGCUUUAACAGCAAACUCAACAAUGCUAUACACCUUUGCUCCAAUGAACAAACUUGACCCUUAAAAUAUAUCCUGUUUUGUUACUCCCAUUGAGUUCAAUUGUGCAUGAUUCGUCUCUCUUACUGGGGUGAAACUUCUGGUGCAGAGGCCCUACACAAAGCUGUGAGGCCACUUAGGCUUCCCAUUAAGGACUGAGUCCAGCUGCACUUGGGGUUCCUUGGAGGAAGAACUGGUGAAGCUCCUUUUUUCUGGGGGCAGAGAUGGGGUGAUUGAGGGUUGCAUAAGGCAGCAUUUCCCAAACUGUGUUCCAUGGAACACUGGUGUUCUGCAUGAUGUGAAUGUGUUCCGUGAAAGACUCUUGCACUUGAUUUUUGUACUACUUUACACGAGCUUUCUAGUUAGAAAUUGUUAGUUCAAGUUAUUUUAAAUUUGUAUUUUUGCUUUGUUUUAUAAAAUAAAAUAUAUUGGAGCAUAAAUAAUGCA